UACGUAGGUGGCGAGCGUUGUCCGGAAUUACUGGGCGUAAAGAGAGCGUAGGCGGCACUACAAGUCUCAUGUGAAAUACCCGGGCUUAACUUGGGGGUUGCAUGGGAAACUGUAGAGCUUGAGUACAGGAGAGGCAAGCGGAAUUCCUAGUGUAGCGGUGAAAUGCAUAGAUAUUAGGAGGAACACCAGUGGCGAAGGCGGCUUGCUGGACUGAAACUGACGCUGAGGCUCGAAAGCAUGGGGAGCAAACAGG
Molecule: ribosomal RNA, 253 nt
Filed under: uncultured bacterium
Lineage: Bacteria
Description: partial 16S ribosomal RNA
Rfam family: Bacterial small subunit ribosomal RNA
Source: RNAcentral